This 253-nucleotide ribosomal RNA is filed under the name uncultured bacterium. RNAcentral describes it as "partial 16S ribosomal RNA". It matches the Rfam family "Bacterial small subunit ribosomal RNA", at positions 524 to 776 of the family's 1533-position model. The record is from RNAcentral.
UACGUAGGGCGCAAGCGUUGUCCGGAAUUAUUGGGCGUAAAGAGCUCGUAGGCGGUUUGUCACGUCUGCUGUGAAAACCUAAGGCUCAACCUUGGGCUUGCAGUGGGUACGGGCAGACUAGAGUGCGGUAGGGGAGACUGGAAUUCCUGGUGUAGCGGUGGAAUGCGCAGAUAUCAGGAGGAACACCGAUGGCGAAGGCAGGUCUCUGGGCCGCAACUGACGCUGAGGAGCGAAAGCAUGGGGAGCGAACAGG